Chrysemys picta bellii (western painted turtle) is the source of this 496-nucleotide non-coding RNA. Lineage: Eukaryota; Metazoa; Chordata; Testudines; Emydidae. The record is from RefSeq and is a predicted model, not a curated record.
CAGAGUUUCACUUUGGACCGGAGUGGGAAAGCUCCAGAAUUCAGCCUCUUAUUAAGUAGUCUUGGCAAAUCCUCAUUUUGCAAACAGAUAAUGUAGGGAUUAUACGUGGGAUGAGUUCUGACUGACUGGUGCCAAAGAAGCGAAUGAGUGAAGAGUCCUGAAGUUCCUGACCCCCUGUUGGCGGAGGGCACGUGCCAAAAGCCUCUGGAUCUUCAUCCUAGGCCUGGAGUGUGUGUGAAGAACACCUGGAGCUGCAGAGGUGUAAUUAUGUGAUCAUCAGGCAUCUAUCUUCAGCAAAGGGGCAGCAAAAUAUACAGAAAGGCAUGAAGUACAAGAAGUGGGCUGUAGUCCACGAAAGCUUAUGCUCUAAUAAAUUUGUUAGUCUCUAAGGUUCCACAAGUACUCCUGUUCUUUUUACAGAUUAUACUGGCUCCAAUGGUUUAUUUGUGAAAUUCACAGGGGAAUCUUCAACAUGUGUUAGACUGAGGUAAAUAGA